GACGAACGCUGGCGGCGUGCUUAACACAUGCAAGUCGAACGGAAAGGCCCUGCUUUUGUGGGGUGCUCGAGUGGCGAACGGGUGAGUAACACGUGAGUAACCUGCCCUUGACUUUGGGAUAACUUCAGGAAACUGGGGCUAAUACCGGAUAGGAGCUCCUGCUGCAUGGUGGGGGUUGGAAAGUUUCGGCGGUUGGGGAUGGACUCGCGGCUUAUCAGCUUGUUGGUGGGGUAGUGGCUUACCAAGGCUUUGACGGGUAGCCGGCCUGAGAGGGUGACCGGCCACAUUGGGACUGAGAUACGGCCCAGACUCCUACGGGAGGCGGCAAUGGGGAAUAUUGCACAAUGGGCGGAAGCCUGAUGCAGCAACGCCGCGUGCGGGAUGACGGCCUUCGGGUUGUAAACCGCUUUCGCCUGUGACGAAGCGUGAGUGACGGUAAUGGGUAAAGAAGCACCGGCUAACUACGUG
RNAcentral lists this ribosomal RNA (468 nucleotides) under uncultured bacterium. RNAcentral describes it as "partial 16S ribosomal RNA". It matches the Rfam family "Bacterial small subunit ribosomal RNA", at positions 28 to 507 of the family's 1533-position model. The record is from RNAcentral.